Molecule: long non-coding RNA, 2365 nt
Organism: Nilaparvata lugens (brown planthopper)
Lineage: Eukaryota; Metazoa; Arthropoda; Insecta; Hemiptera; Delphacidae
Exons: 3
Source: RefSeq, a predicted model, not a curated record
GUGUACCAUAUGCAAGACCUAGAAGGAAUAUAUUGUUCGAGAUUCCCUUUGCUAGAACAAACCAUCAUUACAACUCAUUUCUUUAUAAAACCUUACGACUAGUUUAAUAGCUUGAAUGAACACAUUGAUCCUUUUUCGAACUCAUUCAAUGAAUAUAAGAAACAUUGUGAACUGAAUCUAUCAUAAGACAAGACGCUCGUUUUUGAGAUUAAUUGUUUUGUAAACUCUGGCUGGAACUCUCUUUUCACAUUUUUCUUUAUAUGAAUGUAAUUAAUUUGAUUAUUUCAACUGUGUAAAUGCUUUUUGCUUUCUUUUCUUUAUUUACUAUAUUUCAUAAUGUAUAUAAGUUGAAUUGUUGUUUCAUUUAAUUGUGUAAAUAUAUGGCUCUUUAUGGAUCUCUGUGAGCCUUUGUAUGUAAAGAAAAUGAAUAAAUAAAAAUAACAGUCUUCCAUAUGUGCUUGUAAUAUUGUGAACUUAUUAAGACUUAUCAAAUGCAACUGUAGGUUGUGAAAUGUACUGUGUUGAAUAAAACUAUUAUCUUAUCUUAUCUUCUUACCUAUUAGCAAUAGUCUGUGACACUUGAACACUUGAGGACAUUGCUCUCACCAAAAAAAAAUCUUUUACCAGUAAAUUUUAUUCCAAUUAAUAAAUCUGGAUAAAACUUUAGAAUACAUACGUUCACGAUUUGAAUUGAUUUAUCAAUUUUUAAAGCGUUACUCAAUCCUCCACAAUUAUUUGGUAGUUAGUAGCCAUUACUCAAGCACAAGUCUGUGUCGAAUGUGGUCAUCACCCUCAGUAAAAACCUUAUCCAAUUGAAUUCCAUUAAUCUAAUCUAGAUACAUUUUUUCAAAUAGUAUUAUUUUAAAGCGUUCACAUUGUACACAUGAUCAAUUACUAGCUUCAUUGAAAUCGGAUAACUAAUUUCACAGUACUUGAAUGUAUUCUUUUGUGUUAUGUUGUAGGUGUGAAGAGAGAAGUUUGUUGUGGUGGGGGGAGGGGACAGCUUGGUAUACUGAUUGCUGUAAUGGGAUGACAGCUUACAAGUAUGGUACUUGAGAGAUGGCUGAAUUUCUGAUCGAACGUAACAGCUCGGUGACAAGAAAGAACGAAGACCCCUCCAUUACACCUCAUAAAUGGGAUACAAUGACCUUGUGCGCCUUGUGACCUUGUGCUCCACAACUGUGGAGCCGACAUCAACGCUAAAGAUAAGAUGAUACCAAAACAUAUUACACAGUGUAGAUGGACAGAUAGAAAGUGUGAACAUCAAAAGCCAUCGUGUGUGUUACCCAGUUUCCAUUCUGCAUCUAACAAUAGUAACCGAACAUCCAACAUCAUAACUUUAUUAUAUCAUCUAGUUAAUUUUGAUAUCACAUUAACUAAAAAGCUUUCCUCAUAAUAUACAAGAAAUUAAUACAUUGCCGAGAUUGUCAAAGAUGUGAAUUUUCAAUGUGCUUUGAUGCAAAUUAUUGCAAAAAACUAAUAUCAUGGUUAGCUAUGCAUAAAUUAAUAGGCAUGAUGGUCAUUCUUUACUGAAUCGAAAUAAGCUGUUAUAACUUUGUCAACUAUUAAUUUGGUUUUCAAUAAACUAGUUAUGAUCAGAUGCCUUAUUAAUAAAUGCAAAAUUCAUGUAGGUUAUGUAGCUUUUCUGCAAUAAACUAAAAUUACUCAAUAAUUAAGUUGUUUAAGUUAGGCCACAUUCACACCAGAGUUGUCAACUGAGUUCUCAACAAUGAGACAAUUUCUAGAUAUCCUUGUUUUAAACAAAAAGUUUAGUUUCCUAACCAGUAUGAGAAACACUGAAAAAGUUGUGAACAAAAUCUUCUACCUCUACAAGUCCACGCAGACUAUACAGUCUCUUUUAGGCUAAUUCUUUGACAACUAGUACUCUACUCUGUUGCUCUACAAAAGAACAUCAACUUUAUGUAGAAAACUGUUCAUGUACCAAAUUUUUUUGUUGACAACUUUGGUGUAAAUGCAGCAGCUUCAGCAUUUAUCCUUAUCCAUUAAAUUAUAUUGUUGUACUUGAGUAUACUCUUCACUUUUAAUUAGCCUAUGUCGCACCUGGCUAUUCCAUUAUCUGCGAGCGAAAUAGUAACAACUAUCAACAGUAUAUAGCUGGCUUUUAGAAUUCCACUAGCUUCAAAAGUUGAACAUGUCAACAAUUCAUUCGGGCCACUGAGACAAGUACGCAGGUAAUGAAUAAUUGAGUAUCACAUUAACUGUUUUGUUAGAAGCUAUACAAGCAUCGUUUGUCAGGUGUGACACAUGGGCUUAACUUUAUAAGGCUUGCUAUAAUGAUUCUAAUCUGAAACAAAUAAUAGCUAUAAUACUUUGAAAUCAUUAAAAAAUAUUAUUUUCCACAGAA